UUUUUUUUUAAAGUUUGGUUUUUGUUCUUUUUGCUUAUUUUCAUCAAAAAACCGAACCAACUGAUUUUCCAAUUCAUCACUUUUUUUAAAAAAAAAAAAUAUUAUGGGCUUUUAUGUAAUAUAAUGCAUAAUUUAUGGAAUUUAUAGUUGGCCCCAAGAAUAAAACUAUAGAAAUAAAAAAUGUCCAAACUAAUAAACCGAACUGAAAAUUUUCAGAUUAGUUCUGUUCAACCUUUAACUGCUACAGCACACCAAUUACAUCCUUAUGACUUUCAUCUUUUCCCUUUUCUGACUCAAUGAUGGAGCUUGAGACUUGCUCCCAUCUAACAAGCAUUCAGUUACUGUGCAGUCCCAAAAUGAACAAAGAAAGAAGUAUAUGAUAACCAACAACAGCGAGUCUAGGAUGAAUUGUCUGAUGACUCACAAGUUCCAGUUGGAUGAUGUGGUGAAUGAAAGGUUUUAUACAUGCUAAUGCUAUUCUUUGUUAUCAGAAGCAUGAUGAUGCUUCUUAUAUUCUAUAUACCUUGGUUAGCCAAAUCUCAUUCAAAGUAUGAUUACAUGUUUGAUGAUUACCUCCUUGCUCAUUAUCUUCUGCCUCCAUCCCCUCUUCAAAAACCUAAAACAAAACAUUUGUUGUAUCUUUUUACCAAUCAGACUUGUUACUUUAGAUUUCUAAAUCUGAUUCUCUCUUUUGUCCAUUUUUACAGAAGUUCAUCCUUGGUGG
This 724-nucleotide unclassified non-coding RNA is filed under the name Hevea brasiliensis (rubber tree). The record is from RNAcentral. Lineage: Eukaryota; Viridiplantae; Streptophyta; Magnoliopsida; Malpighiales; Euphorbiaceae.